AUUGAACGCUGGCGGCAGGCCUAACACAUGCAAGUCGAGCGGAUGAAGGGAGCUUGCUCCUGGAUUCAGCGGCGGACGGGUGAGUAAUGCCUAGGAAUCUGCCUGGUAGUGGGGGAUAACGUCCGGAAACGGGCGCUAAUACCGCAUACGUCCUGAGGGAGAAAGUGGGGGAUCUUCGGACCUCACGCUAUCAGAUGAGCCUAGGUCGGAUUAGCUAGUUGGUGGGGUAAAGGCCUACCAAGGCGACGAUCCGUAACUGGUCUGAGAGGAUGAUCAGUCACACUGGAACUGAGACACGGUCCAGACUCCUACGGGGAGCAGCAGUGGGGAAUAUUGGACGAUGGGCGAAAGCCUGAUCCAGCCAUGCCGCGUGUGUGAAGAAGGUCUUCGGAUUGUAAAGCACUUUAAGUUGGGAGGAAGGGCAGUAAGUUAAUACCUUGCUGUUUUGACGUUACCAACAGAAUAAGCACCGGCUAACUUCGUG
RNAcentral lists this ribosomal RNA (484 nucleotides) under uncultured bacterium. Its description in RNAcentral is "partial 16S ribosomal RNA". It matches the Rfam family "Bacterial small subunit ribosomal RNA", at positions 30 to 507 of the family's 1533-position model. The record is from RNAcentral.